ACGCUCGACACCUACGGGGGCAGCAGUAGGGAAUCUUCCACAAUGGGCGCAAGCCUGAUGGAGCAACACCGCGUGAGUGAAGAAGGGUUUCGGCUCGUAAAGCUCUGUUGUUGGAGAAGAACGUGCGUGAGAGUAACUGUUCACGCAGUGACGGUAUCCAACCAGAAAGUCACGGCUAACUACGUGCCGGCAGCCGCGGUAAUCUGAGCGGGCUGGCAAGGC
Molecule: ribosomal RNA, 222 nt
Filed under: uncultured bacterium
Lineage: Bacteria
Description: partial 16S ribosomal RNA
Rfam family: Bacterial small subunit ribosomal RNA
Source: RNAcentral